GAUGAACGCUGGCGGCGUGCCUAAUACAUGCAAGUCGAGCGAACAGACGAGGAGCUUGCUCCUCUGACGUUAGCGGCGGACGGGUGAGUAACACGUGGAUAACCUACCUAUAAGACUGGGAUAACUUCGGGAAACCGGAGCUAAUACCGGAUAACAUGUUGAACCGCAUGGUUCAACAGUGAAAGACGGUCUUGCUGUCACUUAUAGAUGGAUCCGCGCCGCAUUAGCUAGUUGGUAAGGUAACGGCUUACCAAGGCAACGAUGCGUAGCCGACCUGAGAGGGUGAUCGGCCACACUGGAACUGAGACACGGUUCAGACUCCUACGGGAGGCAGCAGUAGGGAAUCUUCCGCAAUGGGCGAAAGCCUGACGGAGCAACGCCGCGUGAGUGAAGAAGGUCUUCGGAUCGUAAAACUCUGUUAUUAGGGAAGAACAAAUGUGUAAGUAACUAUGCACGUCUUGACGGUACCUAAUCAGAAAACCACGGCUAACUACGU
This 496-nucleotide ribosomal RNA is filed under the name uncultured bacterium. RNAcentral describes it as "partial 16S ribosomal RNA". It matches the Rfam family "Bacterial small subunit ribosomal RNA", at positions 28 to 506 of the family's 1533-position model. The record is from RNAcentral.